This 1236-nucleotide ribosomal RNA is filed under the name metagenome. Its description in RNAcentral is "bacterial LSU rRNA". It matches the Rfam family "Bacterial large subunit ribosomal RNA", at positions 1564 to 2808 of the family's 2925-position model. The record is from RNAcentral.
UGAAUACGAGAUGCUACGGCGUCGAAGCAGUCUAUGUCAUACUUCCAAGAAAAGCUUGCACUGUCAUAAACAAAUAAUGCCUGUACCAUAACCGACACAGGUGGGUAGGUAGAGUAUACUAAGGGGCGCGAGAUAACUCUCUCUAAGGAACUCGGCAAAAUGACUCCGUAACUUCGGGAGAAGGAGUGCCUUAUUUUAUAAGGUUGCAAUAACAAGAUCCAAGCAACUGUUUACCAAAAACACAGGUCUCCGCUAAGUCGUAAGACGAUGUAUGGGGGCUGACGCCUGCCCAGUGCCAGAAGGUUAAAGAAGUUGGUUAGCAUCCGCGAAGCUGAUAACUGAAGCCCUGGUGAACGGCGGCCGUAACAAUAACGGUCCUAAGGUAGCGAAAUUCCUUGUCGGGUAAGUUCCGACCCGCACGAAAGGCGUAAUGAUUUGGAUACUGUCUCAGAGAGGGGCUCGGUGAAAUAGACUUGUCUGUGAAGAUGCGGACUACCUGCACCAGGACAGAAAGACCCUAUGAAGCUUUACUGUAACUUGGAAUUGAAAUUGGACUUUACUUGCGCAGUAUAGGUGGGAGGCGUUGAGAAUAUUCUUGCGGGAAUGUUGGAGCCAUCAGUGAGAUACCACUCUUGUAAUGUUAGAUUUCUAACUUUGUAUCAUUAUCUGGUCAAAGGACAGUUUCAGGCGGGCAGUUUGACUGGGGCGGUCGCCUCCCAAACGGUGACGGAGGCGCACAAAGGUUUCCUCUGAACGGGUAGAAAUCGUAUCUAGAGUGUAAAGGCAUAAGGAAGCUUGACUGUGAGACCUACAAGUCGAGCAGGGACGAAAGUCGGUCUUAGUGAUCUGACGGUGCUGAGUGGAAAGGCCGUCACUCAACGGAUAAAAGUUACUCUAAGGAUAACAGGCUGAUCUCCCCCAAGAGUUCACAUCGACGGGGAGGUUUGGCACCUCGAUGUCGGCUCAUCGCAUCCUGGGGCGGUAGUACGUCCCAAGGGUUGGGCUGUUCGCCCAUGAAAGCGGUACGCGAGCUGGGUUCAGAACGUCGUGAGACAGUUCGGUCCAUAUCCGGUGUAGGCGUUAGAAUAUUGAGAGGAGCCUUCUUUAGUACGAGAGGACCGAGAAGGACAUACCUCUGGUGUACCAGUUAUCGUGCCAACGGUAAACGCUGGGUAGCUAUGUAUGGAGUGGAUAACCGCUGAAAGCAUCUAAGUGGGAAGCCCACCUCAAGAUAAG